RNAcentral lists this ribosomal RNA (253 nucleotides) under uncultured bacterium. Its description in RNAcentral is "partial 16S ribosomal RNA". It matches the Rfam family "Bacterial small subunit ribosomal RNA", at positions 524 to 776 of the family's 1533-position model. The record is from RNAcentral.
UACGUAGGAGGCAAGCGUUGUCCGGAUUUACUGGGCGUAAAGAGCGUGUAGGCGGUUGAGCAAGUCUGCUGUGAAAUCUCCUGGCUCAACCAGGAAGGGUCAGUGGAAACUGCUUAACUUGAGGACGGUAGAGGGGGGUGGAAUUCCCGGUGUAGUGGUGAAAUGCGUAGAGAUCGGGAGGAACACCAGCGGCGAAGGCGGCUCGCUGGGCCGUUGCUGACGCUGAUGCGCGAAAGCGUGGGGAGCAAACAGG